Molecule: ribosomal RNA, 190 nt
Filed under: uncultured bacterium
Lineage: Bacteria
Description: partial 16S ribosomal RNA
Rfam family: Bacterial small subunit ribosomal RNA
Source: RNAcentral
AGUCUGCAACCCGACUCCACGAAGCUGGAUUCGCUAGUAAUCGCGCAUCAGCCACGGCGCGGUGAAUACGUUCCCGGGCCUUGUACACACCGCCCGUCAAGCCAUGGGAGCCGGGGUACCUGAAGUGCGUAACCGCGAGGAUCGCCCUAGGGUAAAACUGGUGACUGGGGCUAAGUCGUAACAAGGUAUC